CAAAGAUUAAGCCAUGCAUGUGUCAGUACGAGCCUUCCUUAGUGUGAAACCGCAAACGGCUCAUUAAAUCAGUCAUAAUUUACUGGAUGUCGGUUAUCCGUUUACUCGGAUAACUGUGGCAAUUCUAGAGCUAAUACGUGCAACUGAGCUCCGACACCCAGCCGAUAUUCGCGCGGCGAGUCUCCGACUCGUCGCGGGCUCUGUCGGUUCGGGCGGAAGGGCGCAAUUAUUAGAAUCACAAACCGAGCGGGCUUCCGGGCCCGUCCAUUAACCGUUUCGGUUGUGAUGACUCUGGAUAAUCUUGCCGAGCGAUGAGGCCUUAGCGCCGACGCUGCGUCCUUCGAGAGACUGCCUUAUCAGCUUUCGAUCGUAGGUUAGACGCCUACGAUGGCUGUAACGGGUAACGGGGAAUCAGGGUUCGAUUCCGGAGAGGGAGCCUGAGAAACGGCUACCACAUCUAAGGAAGGCAGCAGGCACGCAAAUUACCCACUCCUGGCUCUGGGAGGUAGUGACGAUAAAUAACGAUGCGGGACUCAUCCGAGGCCUCGCAAUCGGAAUGAGAUCAGUCUAAACCUUUGGACGAGGAUCCAUUGGAGGGCAAGUCUGGUGCCAGCAGCCGCGGUAAUUCCAGCUCCAAUAGCGUAUAUUAAAGUUGCUGCGGUUAAAAAGCUCGUAGUUUGACUUUAGGCCCGUACCGGGGGUCCACCCAAGGAGGGCGCCUCGCGGAGGAUAUCUCCUUCAGGUGGGGGCAAACGCGUUUCAAGCAAAGACCGAGACUUCGUCAGUGCGUGUCGAAGCGGAGUUAAAGAGCGAAGCGAGGGGGAGGCGUUGUUGGAUUGACGGUGGUCGUGGUUCGCGCUGGUUCGGUGGCGUUGCUUGUGUAGCGGGCGCGGUGUGUGGCGUGUGGUGGUUGUUGUUUCGUUGUUUGUUGCGCGCAUAGCGAGAAAGAGGCUUCAACGGUAUCGGCUCGCGUCGUUUGCCGUUGCGGUCACCCUGCUGCCGCUACUGCCGCAGCAGCAGCUGCAGCUUUCGCUUCCCCACCCACCAUCGUUGUUCGUCCAUCACUCGCUCUCACCAACCACGCUCGUGUCCCUUCCAUCUCUCCCCUCGCCGUUAUAUCCCUCGCUGCGUUUUCCGUUUCGCGCGCGCUCGUCGUAGCUCUCGUUCGUUAAAAUGUUUUUGACGCGCCUCGCUAGAGAAACCUCUCGCGAGAUCCGUUCUCCCGGUGGUUAACCCACUCGGCUACGGGCUUUUAAGAAACCAGUCGGUUCUCGCGGGGUGCUCUUUACCGAGUGUCUCGCGUGGCCGGCAACGUUCACUUUGAAAAAAUUAGAGUGCUCAAAGCAGGCAAAAUUUCACGCCUGAAUGUAUAUGCUUAGGAUGAAGGAACAGGACCUCGGUUCUGCGAUUAUUUUUCUCUCGGUUUUUUCCGAACCCCGAGGUAAUGAUUAACGGGAGCGGACGGGGGCAUUGGUAUUGCGACGCGAGAGGUGAAAUUCUAAGACCGUCGCAAGACUAACUACUGCGAAAGCAUUUGCCAAGAACGCUUUCAUUAAUCAAGAACGAAAGUUAGAGGAUCGAAGGCGAUCAGAUACCGCCCUAGUUCUAACCUUAAACGAUGCCAACUAGCGAUCCGCUUAAGUCAUUCCCACGACUGAGCGGGCAGCCCCUGGGAAACCAAAGUUUUUGGGUUCCGGGGGAAGUAUGGUUGCAAAGCUGAAACUUAAAGGAAUUGACGGAAGGGCACCACCAGGAGUGGAGCCUGCGGCUUAAUUUGACUCAACACGGGAAACCUCACCAGGCCCAGACACCGGAAGGAUUGACAGAUUGAGAGCUCUUUCUCGAUUCGGUGGUUGGUGGUGCAUGGCCGUUCUUAGUUGGUGGAGCGAUCUGUCUGGUUAAUUCCGAUAACGAACGAGACUCUACCCUAUUAACUAGUCGGUAGAUCGUUUCCCGAGUCGGGUUCCCCUUUCGCGGAGGGUUUCGGCGCGCGGGGUACGGCGGGCUCUCUCUUUUUCGGCUCUUGCCGCUUUGCGGGAAAAACGGCGCGCGCGCGCUCGCGCGAUCCAACUUAUUAUUAUUUAUCAGCUGCUUACGUAGUUGAUGAUGGUGGUGAGAAGGGUCGUGCGUGUUGCGUGUGUCGUCGGAGUAACUCGUAAACGUGGCUUUGUCGAAGGGGGAGGGUUCGUUCCCGCGUUUUGCUUUCUUUCCGCGGAGGGCCCGGCGAGGGGCGUCUAUCGCAAUAUCUUCUUAGAGGGAUCAGCGGUUUCCAGCCGCACGAGAGAGAGCAAUAACAGGUCUGUGAUGCCCUUAGAUGUUCUGGGCCGCACGCGCGCUACAAUGAAAGGAGCAGCGUGCUUUCCCCCUCCGAAAGGAGUGGGUAACCCGAUGAAACCCUUUCCCGAUUGGGAUUGGGGAUUGUAAGUGUUUCCCAUGAACGAGGAAUUCCCAGUAAGCGCAAGUCAUUAGCUUGCGAUGAUUACGUCCCUGCCCUUUGUACACACCGCCCGUCGCUACUACCGAUUGAAUGAUUCAGUGAGGGCGUUGGACUGGCGCCCUCGGCAGCUCUCGGUACGCGCGUUUCCACUUUUUACGUGCCCUUCGGGGUUACAUUGAAGAGGCCGCUGCCGAACGGGCGCCCCGGGCACGCCGGAAAGACGUCCGAACUUGAUCAUU
Molecule: ribosomal RNA, 2676 nt
Filed under: Dynamenoides decima
Lineage: Eukaryota; Metazoa; Arthropoda; Malacostraca; Isopoda; Sphaeromatidae
Description: bacterial SSU rRNA
Rfam family: Eukaryotic small subunit ribosomal RNA (bases 293-2676)
Source: RNAcentral